This 465-nucleotide ribosomal RNA is filed under the name uncultured bacterium. RNAcentral's name for it is "partial 16S ribosomal RNA". It matches the Rfam family "Bacterial small subunit ribosomal RNA", at positions 28 to 507 of the family's 1533-position model. The record is from RNAcentral.
GAUGAACGCUGGCGGCGUGCUUAACACAUGCAAGUCGAACGGAAAGGCUCCUGCUUGCAGGGGUACUCGAGUGGCGAACGGGUGAGUAACACGUGGGUGAUCUGCCCUGCACUUCGGGAUAAGCCUGGGAAACUGGGUCUAAUACCGGAUAGGACGAUGGUUUGGAUGCCAUUGUGGAAAGUUUUUCGGUGUGGGAUGAGCUCGCGGCCUAUCAGCUUGUUGGUGGGGUAAUGGCCUACCAAGGCGUCGACGGGUAGCCGGCCUGAGAGGGUGUACGGCCACAUUGGGAUUGAGAUACGGCCCAGACUCCUACGGGAGGCAGCAGUGGGGAAUAUUGCACAAUGGGCGCAAGCCUGAUGCAGCGACGCCGCGUGGGGGAUGACGGCCUUCGGGUUGUAAACUCCUUUCGCUAGGGACGAAGCGCAAGUGACGGUACCUGGAGAAGAAGCACCGGCUAACUACGUG